Non-coding RNA from Misgurnus anguillicaudatus (oriental weatherfish), 1021 nucleotides. The record is from RefSeq and is a predicted model, not a curated record. NCBI's taxonomy places the organism in Eukaryota, Metazoa, Chordata, Actinopteri, Cypriniformes, Cobitidae.
UACACCAUACUAUGUUGUUCCAGCUGUCUGGGUAAAGACUGAUACAUUACUGCCUCUUGGAGAACAGCAAACCAUUCUCCAGACAGAGACAAAGACAUGGACAUCAAAACAGAAAAUUAAGUACUUGAUCUUGGAUUGUUUGGAGUGAACGCUGGAAAAUAAUGAAGCAGGAAAUUGACUAAAACAAUUUUUGUACUUGGCUGUAAGAAGUCCUUUGUGUGCACAGACAUGACUGGAGAUUAAAGUUACUAAAUGUUGCUUUUUUUCUAGCUGGUGACAUAACAUGGUAUUAUUUUCAAAUGUAUUUAUCUAAUACACAUUUGCACAUCUGUAAACAUUCAUUUUAUAUAGGAUGUUUUUUAUAUUUAACCAGUUGUUGUAUAUUGCUUUCUGUUAUUACAUCUGUUUUUUUUGCCUGUUUAUUGUUUAAAACAAUUAAGUUAAUGUUUCUCUGUUAGCUUUUACUUUGGCUAUUUCUUUGCUUUUAUUUGAUCCUUCUACUGUUAUUUGUUUAUUUGGCAGAACAUUUGACAUUUCAUUUAUUUUGCUGUUAUCUGAAAUUAUCCUUGUCACCAUCAAUAAAACUCUAUAUUUGCUUUAUAUCUGUGUUUUUCAAUUACACAUUUUACGGGAUAUAAAUAUAUUUUGGUCACUUUAUGGCUAUUUUCUGGGGCAUCUGGAUAAGUUGUGGGUGGGUUCUGGGGUAAAUAUGGUAAUUUUGGUUAUUUUAUGGGUUACAUUUGGGGUUUCUGGAAAAGUUGUGGGUAAGUUUGGGGAUAAAUGUGGUAAUUUGGGCUGUUUUUUGGUUGUUAUCUGGAGAUUCCGGGAGAGCUGUGGCUGAUUUCUCGAGGUGUGAAAGGGUUGCGGCUAAGUUAUGGUCUGCUUUCGGCUAGAUUCUGGAUUACUUAAGGCAAGCAGCUCUGGGACCAAUCAAGGACCGUAAGCCGUGGCGGCAUGUGUGCCAAAAGAACAGCCUGAACUCAGCCAUUUCUGGCCCUGAAAAAUUUUGCUAUCUGGGAAA